GGGUUCAUGCUUCUCCCCGCCACCCCUCACACCACAGCCACACCGCCCGCGCCCGCCCGGGGGUGGUAUCUCCUCUCCUACGCCCUAACUGAACCAUCCCUUCCACCUCCGCCUAUCCUACAUACGCAGCGCCUAUUAUACGUACAACGCUAGCCGUGUUCAGUUAAUUACCGGCCGGAGCGCCUGGUGAAGGUUAGUUACCAUCACUAGAUUACAGCAAAUUAUACUAGUAGAACCAUCCCAUCCAUCAGACUAUUCCCUUUUUUGUUGGUAAUGGAAAUAGCCCAUGCUUUGGUUUGACGACAUUCAUGGAACAGUUAAUCAAACUUAGACUAACUGACUAGCCACUAGGUUAGGUUAAUUACCAUCACUAGCUAGAUUUACUAUGUGACAUUGGCCGACGCAAAAGGUUGAACGAGGGAGUACAGUAAGUGUGGCACAGUGGCGUCAUGGAUCGGCGGUGAAACCGGUCGGUAGAUCCGACAGCUUAGAGUAAACGGGAAUGAAGGGCGCACAUGACGCAAUUCAUUUAGAAUUUGAAAGCGGGGUGAUUUAUCUAGUGCUGGCGUCCCUAAUCUAAUGAAAAACGCUAAAGUACGCGUGAUCGGCCAGCUCGAUUAGCAAAGGAGGCCCGGACCUCCACAUCUUCACAUGGCUUUAAGGAAUAUGAGCAGGCAAAAGGGGGAAUUUAACCCACCCUGGACCCAGCAGAUCAGAUCGUGUGUAAUCGUUGAUCGUAAUGAUGCCAGAGACAAAACCCGCCUACGUACUCAUCAGACCAAUGAUUACGGUCUAAAUUACAUGUGUUCUAUUCUAGUAUGGUAAUAUUCAACUGGAACUGUUCGUCGCAUUUCCUGGCUUUCCGAAGAAUAAUCCAUCUUCCUUUGCCUUUAGAGUAUAUAUGUCUUAAAUCAAAGUCGAGGCAUAAUUCGAUAAACGAACCCGAGUCACCCUCCUAAGGCCCUGUUUGGAUCACCGUUUUCCUUCUAAAUACCCUUGUAAAAAAUACAUGUUCCAUUUCCAGACGGAAUUUGUUCAGCGGGCAGUAAGAUACAUGUGUAAAUUAUAACUUAUACACCUCUGUAUUAAAUUACAUCGAUUCCAAGCACGAUCUAAACUCUAAAGUUCAGAGAGACAGCUAUGUGACAGGCCACUAGUUGGGAUAACAAAGAUAAAUUAAAUUAACGAUCGGCAAUAGAUUAGCCGGGGUAGGAAUAAUCCUUACAACUUUGGGGGUGGUAUUGGGAUCAGACCUUGAGUGCCCGCAUUGCCAUACAUCCGUGGAGAUAUGGGUGGCCUCUGCGAGCUGCAAGCAAAGUAUACCACUUCAACCCGGGUACACAAAAAAAUAACUGCAUGCGAUUAAGAUAUGCCGAGACAUAUUCCGUUCAAAAGCGCCUCACGAAAAGUUGUUUAAUCACAAAGGGUUGCAGAGCUCAAUGGCAGUGUCGGUUCUGAUUAGAGGAGAAGAGGAAUCACGCAGAGGAAGAAGAAAAGAAGGCCUCAACAGUGUAGCCGAAAGGGUAGGCCACCCCCAACUUUCGAACCCCAAAAGGAGGCUGUUGUGCGCAAGUAUCUCGGGGCUUCCUCGAGAAUCGAUCUGCCGCUGCCCAAACAGGCCGGGAGGGAUGUCUGAACACCAGAUGAUGAAGCAAUACGAUACGAAUAAUGUAGUAGAUGACAGGGAAAUGCACGUAUGCUUUAUCUGUUUGCGGUGUAGACGGAGAAAGCUGAUCAACUUAUAUAUGGGAAAUGAAGUUUAUAUAUGUGUUCCUCCUGUAGCAGUCCGAAAACUCCGUGUUCCGUUCCCACCGGUGUCAUUUGCUUGACUGUGAUGAUUAAAAUCCAUAGGGGUAUAGGACCAUAUAUAAGUACCCCGUAAAGUAAAGCAGUCUAGGGCUUUAGGCAACUUGCAAACAUUUUGCUUAUGUCAGGUUCAGUCACUAUCUGAAGCUUUUACGGGUUUACUACUCUCUGAUUCGUCGGCCCUAGGCAAGUCUAGAUAUAAAUUCUGUUUAGCAUGAAAUGCUAUAUUCCAGAACAGUAAUAAUCAGUUAGAGAACUUUCUUGGAAACAGGGUACUAACGGUAAGAAUCAAAGCUCCAAAGGUGAGGUUCACUUGUAAUAAUAAAUAUGUAUGGUUAGCUAACGGAAGAUGUGUCAGAUUUACUCUAUAAAAUGGCAUUGCAGACACUGUUGCGUACAUGUAAACAUACUGCAUAUUCUUCAAAGAAAUUUUACAGACACAGAAAAAAGUAAGGAUUCAUGGUCUGGUCAUCAGAUUUGACUUACCAGUCCUGACAAAGUACUGAACUCAGCACCUGAUGACCGAUACUUCAUAGUCUUUGUGAUAAGGCUCGAGCCAAUCAACUGCAGGUUUGUGUUCACUAGAAAAAAGAUAACAACAAAGGGUGUGCUGCUGAGAUAAGAAUUCAGAGACUACGUUUGUGAGCGGGUAUAAAAACCCGUACUACCAUGCUAGCGUCUUCAACAACUUCAUAGCACUAUAGCAGCAACAAACAUAGAUCAUUAGUUAUAACUAGAAUUAGCUUUUAGAUCUGCUACUGCUUACUGGGAAACACAUGUUUUAAUGAUAACAGAACAUGUGACUACCUUAUGCUCUUUGGAUUUUAAGCCUAGAUCCUAGUAAAUAUAUAUUUCAUCGCUUGAGGCAGUAACUGUAACAACAAGACUGUCAAUUUAGAGAACAGGGAACAGGAUGGAAAGCAAACGUAAGUACUAGAGCACACACAAGGGGAGAAAACAAACGUGCGUCCUUGAUAUUCUCAUAGUAUAUCUUGUUUUACACAGAUCAGAUAAGAAUAACUUGGAUGAGCAAAUAAGUUCACAAAAAGAUGCAUGCCUACUGCCUACGGAGCUUGAAGCAGAACAAGCAAAAGCACAAAACGUGGGGAAAACAUGACAAAAAUGCAGUCUUGAGCACAGGAAAAGGAAUUAUGGAACUGAGGUCAACAUCGAACGGAAAGUUGGGCUAUUCCCUUUAAUCAUUGGAUACUUCAAAUAAAUUUGUAAGACAUGAUGAGGGAACUUGCACAUGUUUAACAUGCUUGUAUAUCUCAUGAUGAAACUGUGAGAAAGCAAGAAAUCUUGUUAGGUUCUUUUUUGAGUAUCAAAUCUUGUUGGCUUCAAAAUUUCUCCAACCUGACAUCGUAACAAUUUAGCGUUUACUGUAUGAUACAGUUCAAUAUGAAAUUAGGAACAUGCUGUGUGACCGCUGUCUUGAUUUUACUAUUGAUGGAAAAUUAUCUUUUACGAAACAACUGCGCUGAAAGGCUAAAGUAUAUUUGCAGAUAACCGUUUCUAAGCAGAAAAGAUCAGCUGCUUAAGUGGUCGGUUCCUCUUGAAAGAAGUAACGUCAUGAUACCAGCAUCAGGGUAUCCAGCACCAUGAAAGGCGAAAAGGAUGAUAAGGAUAAAAAGAAGCAGUCGUUUUCAGUUCUGCUGCAAAACAAAAUGGCACCAUUGUAAGUACUAGUACCUCAUAAUUAGCUGCAUGAACUCAUAGUGAGGAUAAAGAUGAAGUCAAAAGAGGUCAGAUGUAGGAUACAACGUCAAAAGAAGCUGCCUGAACUCAUCAUAGUGAGGAUAAAGAUGUAGUGAGAUGCAUAUGGGCUUUCGAUCCUAUUUUUCAGCCAUCUGUCCCCAUAUAACAUGAUCUGCUGAAUUAAGUUCAUGAAGAGUUGGCAGUCAUAGUGGUGUGUAAAAGGUUCACACUGAAGCAUUGUCCACUUUUUACUUACCAUGGAAUACAUUUCAAUUACGC
RNAcentral lists this long non-coding RNA (3783 nucleotides) under Triticum aestivum (bread wheat). RNAcentral's name for it is "long non-coding RNA (TAES_LNC003848)". The record is from RNAcentral. Lineage: Eukaryota; Viridiplantae; Streptophyta; Magnoliopsida; Poales; Poaceae.